Molecule: unclassified non-coding RNA, 257 nt
Filed under: uncultured Nectriaceae
Lineage: Eukaryota; Fungi; Ascomycota; Sordariomycetes; Hypocreales; Nectriaceae
Description: partial contains 5.8S ribosomal RNA, internal transcribed spacer 2, and large subunit ribosomal RNA
Source: RNAcentral
AACGCACAUUGCGCCCGCUAGUAUUCUGGCGGGCAUGCCUGUUCGAGCGUCAUUUCAACCCUCAAGCCUAGCUUGGUGUUGGGGACCGGCCGCUGCCUAACCGCCGCGGCCGCCCCCGAAAUAUAGUGGCGGUCUCGCUGCAGCCUCCCCUGCGUAGUAGCAAACCUCGCACCGGAGCGCAGCGCGGCCACGCCGUUAAACCCCCCACACUUCUGAAUGUUGACCUCGGAUCAGGUAGGAAUACCCGCUGAACUUAA